CUACGGGCUGCAGCAGUGAGGAAUAUUGCACAAUGGAGGAAACUCUGAUGCAGCAACGCCGCGUGGAGGAUGACGCAUUUCGGUGUGUAAACUCCUUUUAUAUGUCAAGAAAAUGACGGUAGCAUAUGAAUAAGCUCCGGCUAACUCCGUGCCAGCAGCCGCGGUAAUACGGAGGGAGCAAGCGUUACUCGGAAUCACUGGGCGUAAAGGACGCGUAGGCGGGAUAGAAAGUCAGGUGUGAAAUCCUAUGGCUCAACCAUAGAACUGCACUUGAAACUUCUAACCUAGAGUAUGGGAGGGGAAGAUGGAAUUAGUGGUGUAGGGGUAAAAUCCGUAGAUAUCACUAGGAAUACCAAAAGCGAAGGCGAUCUUCUGGAACAAUACUGACGCUAAGGCGUGAAAGCGUGGGGAGCAAACAGGAUUAAAUACCCCGGUAGUC
RNAcentral lists this ribosomal RNA (439 nucleotides) under uncultured bacterium. RNAcentral describes it as "partial 16S ribosomal RNA". It matches the Rfam family "Bacterial small subunit ribosomal RNA", at positions 339 to 795 of the family's 1533-position model. The record is from RNAcentral.